RNAcentral lists this ribosomal RNA (465 nucleotides) under Vreelandella stevensii. RNAcentral's name for it is "partial 16S ribosomal RNA". It matches the Rfam family "Bacterial small subunit ribosomal RNA", at positions 338 to 795 of the family's 1533-position model. The record is from RNAcentral. Lineage: Bacteria; Pseudomonadati; Pseudomonadota; Gammaproteobacteria; Oceanospirillales; Halomonadaceae.
CCUACGGGAGGCUGCAGUGGGGAAUAUUGGACAAUGGGGGCAACCCUGAUCCAGCCAUGCCGCGUGUGUGAAGAAGGCCCUCGGGUUGUAAAGCACUUUCAGUGAGGAAGAACGCCUGGUGGUUAAUACCCAUCAGGAAAGACAUCACUCACAGAAGAAGCACCGGCUAACUCCGUGCCAGCAGCCGCGGUAAUACGGAGGGUGCGAGCGUUAAUCGGAAUUACUGGGCGUAAAGCGCGCGUAGGUGGCUUGAUAAGCCGGUUGUGAAAGCCCCGGGCUCAACCUGGGAACGGCAUCCGGAACUGUCAAGCUAGAGUGCAGGAGAGGAAGGUAGAAUUCCCGGUGUAGCGGUGAAAUGCGUAGAGAUCGGGAGGAAUACCAGUGGCGAAGGCGGCCUUCUGGACUGAAACUGACACUGAGGUGCGAAAGCGUGGGUAGCAAACAGGAUUAGAUACCCCAGUAGUC